UGUGAUGCCCUUAGAUGUUCUGGGCUGCACGCGCGCUACACUGACAGACUCAACAAGUAUAUUCACCUUGGCCGAUGGGUCUGGGUAAUCUUUUGAAAGUCUGUCGUGCUGGGGAUAGAUCAUUGCAAUUAUUGGUCUUCAACGAGGAAUUCCUAGUAAGCGCAAUUCAUCAGAUUGCGCUGAUUACGUCCCUGCCCUUU
This 200-nucleotide ribosomal RNA is filed under the name uncultured organism. RNAcentral's name for it is "partial small subunit ribosomal RNA". It matches the Rfam family "Eukaryotic small subunit ribosomal RNA", at positions 1463 to 1661 of the family's 1831-position model. The record is from RNAcentral.